RNAcentral lists this ribosomal RNA (492 nucleotides) under uncultured bacterium. Its description in RNAcentral is "partial 16S ribosomal RNA". It matches the Rfam family "Bacterial small subunit ribosomal RNA", at positions 29 to 507 of the family's 1533-position model. The record is from RNAcentral.
AGUGAACGCUGGCGGUAGGCCUAACACAUGCAAGCCGAACGGCAGCACAGUAAGAGCUUGCUCUUACGGGUGGCGAGUGGCGGACGGGUGAGGAAUACAUCGGAAUCUACUUUUUCGUGGGGGAUAACGUAGGGAAACUUACGCUAAUACCGCAUACGACCUACGGGUGAAAGCAGGGGAUCUUCGGACCUUGCGCGAUUGAAUGAGCCGAUGUCGGAUUAGCUAGUUGGCGGGGUAAAGGCCCACCAAGGCGACGAUCCGUAGCUGGUCUGAGAGGAUGAUCAGCCACACUGGAACUGAGACACGGUCCAGACUCCUACGGGAGGCAGCAGUGGGGAAUAUUGGACAAUGGGCGCAAGCCUGAUCCAGCCAUGCCGCGUGGGUGAAGAAGGCCUUCGGGUUGUAAAGCCCUUUUGUUGGGAAAGAAAAGCAGCAGGUUAAUACCCCGCUGUUCUGACGGUACCCAAAGAAUAAGCACCGGCUAACUUCGUG